UCUAGGAUAAGUAAAAGUAGUCAUGAUAAGUGUUAGACAUGUAACGAAGAGCCAGAAGAUACCAAACGCGCACCAUGUAACUGUUCCAAGUGAAGGAUUCAGUGUUGAAGGAUUAGGAUUGUAGAACUUAUAAACAAUAAAGAUUUUAACUAACAAUGUAUAGAUUAGCUCCAAAAUUCUAUGUAAAGGCGGCAAAUUACACGUACAAGUAUUGAACAAACUAAGGAAGCAUUAUUAUACUUUUACUGGACAUUCACGAGCGGCCAUCUUGGAUUCUCAUGAACAUAGGAUGGCUGUUACACGUGCGCAUUGGAAUGCAUGUAUUAAUUAUACACAUGAAAUAAAUGCAAAAUAAUAUUAUUCCCACUUCAA
Molecule: long non-coding RNA, 372 nt
Organism: Bombus huntii
Lineage: Eukaryota; Metazoa; Arthropoda; Insecta; Hymenoptera; Apidae
Exons: 2
Source: RefSeq, a predicted model, not a curated record